UCUUUUGCCCGUGUAUACAGUUUCACAUUUAGAGCGGGUCCCAUUAUAAGCCUUUUAACAUCAAUUUCAAAUCAAAAUGUGGGUUUUAUGGAAAACUACCCUUCAGAGCCACUUUUCAGCUAAUCUAACCUCUCUUUUUCAAGUAUGUUCCCAUUUUCAAAGUGGACAGUGAGAGCCAGGAGGAAGAAGAAACAAGUGAAAGCAUGGCUCCUGAGGUUGGUCUAUGGCAGAUACUAGGUAUGUGUUUUAGGACAUGCUCUGUUUUCAUGCUCCCGAUUGACUCUCCACUCGCACUGUUUACAAUCUCCCAACUGUCUCAACAUUCGCGCUGCUUUCUCGUCAGUGAAUAUUUAAAGAAAGAUUCUGUAAAACUUGAUACUGUAACAGGUGCAGUAAAGUUUCAUUUGUAAUCAAAUCUAUUAUAAUUGC
Carcharodon carcharias (great white shark) is the source of this 429-nucleotide long non-coding RNA. RefSeq lists it as uncharacterized. Lineage: Eukaryota; Metazoa; Chordata; Chondrichthyes; Lamniformes; Lamnidae. The record is from RefSeq and is a predicted model, not a curated record. The transcript has 3 exons.